Molecule: ribosomal RNA, 600 nt
Filed under: uncultured fungus
Lineage: Eukaryota; Fungi
Description: eukaryotic LSU rRNA
Rfam family: 5.8S ribosomal RNA (bases 233-386)
Source: RNAcentral
UUGGUCAUUUAGAGGAAGUAAAAGUCGUAACAAGGUCUCCGUAGGUGAACCUGCGGAGGGAUCAUUACACAAAUAUGAAGGCGGGCUGGAACCUCUCGGGGUUACAGCCUUGCUGAAUUAUUCACCCUUGUCUUUUGCGUACUUCUUGUUUCCUUGGUGGGUUCGCCCACCACUAGGACAAACAUAAACCUUUUGUAAUUGCAAUCAGCGUCAGUAACAAAUUAAUAAUUACAACUUUCAACAACGGAUCUCUUGGUUCUGGCAUCGAUGAAGAACGCAGCGAAAUGCGAUAAGUAGUGUGAAUUGCAGAAUUCAGUGAAUCAUCGAAUCUUUGAACGCACAUUGCGCCCUUUGGUAUUCCAAAGGGCAUGCCUGUUCGAGCGUCAUUUGUACCCUCAAGCUUUGCUUGGUGUUGGGCGUCUUGUCUCUAGCUUUGCUGGAGACUCGCCUUAAAGUAAUUGGCAGCCGGCCUACUGGUUUCGGAGCGCAGCACAAGUCGCACUCUCUAUCAGCAAAGGUCUAGCAUCCAUUAAGCCUUUUUUUCAACUUUUGACCUCGGAUCAGGUAGGGAUACCCGCUGAACUUAAGCAUAUCAAUAAG